UACGAAGGGUGCAAACGUUGCUCGGAAUUAUUGGGCGUAAAGCGCACGUAGGCGGCUUAGCAAGUUGGAUGUGAAAUCCCUCGGCUCAACCAAGGAAGUGCAUCCAAAACUGCUGAGCUUGAGUACUUAAGAGGAUCGCGGAAUUCCCGGUGUAGAGGUGAAAUUCGUAGAUAUCAGGAGGAACACCGGUGGCGAAGGCGCACAUCUGGCCCGAUACUGACGCUGAGGCGCGAAAGCUAGGGGAGCAAACGGG
This 253-nucleotide ribosomal RNA is filed under the name uncultured bacterium. Its description in RNAcentral is "partial 16S ribosomal RNA". It matches the Rfam family "Bacterial small subunit ribosomal RNA", at positions 524 to 776 of the family's 1533-position model. The record is from RNAcentral.